Manis pentadactyla (Chinese pangolin) is the source of this 445-nucleotide long non-coding RNA. RefSeq lists it as uncharacterized. The record is from RefSeq and is a predicted model, not a curated record. Lineage: Eukaryota; Metazoa; Chordata; Mammalia; Pholidota; Manidae. The transcript is spliced from 3 exons.
CAAAGGCAGGAAUUCUUGAAUGAAAAGUAUCAGUUGAGUAGUUAGGGUCUUGCCUGAAGGAUAAAGAGCAAACGAAUCUGGAUGCUGGGAAGAAUCACAUGCAGGCAGUGCCCAGUGGGAAAGAAUUCCUGGACAGACAUUGAGCCAUCUCUGCAGCCACUGCUCCCUGGAACAAACGGAGGACAGGCAGGAAAAGUUGGUGAUGCUCGUCCCAGGUCCCUACCCUGCUCCAGCACCAACUAUACUUUCCUACCCAGAAGAGAGAAUGUGUUGACUGCCACAGCUAAUCAACUCGGACAACACAAGCUCACUUGGGUCACAGAUGCUCCCUGAAUGUCUCCACUUUGGCCUUACCAGCAUUUGCUCUUCUGGCAAGAGUACCAUGUGGAUAUUCUCCUCCCCUGCUUCAACCCACAUGGCAUCAAUGCAGGGGACUCCGAUCCCA